Molecule: ribosomal RNA, 449 nt
Filed under: uncultured bacterium
Lineage: Bacteria
Description: bacterial SSU rRNA
Rfam family: Bacterial small subunit ribosomal RNA
Source: RNAcentral
CGCCAGACUCCUACGGGAGGCAGCAGUGGGGAAUAUUGGACAAUGGGGGGAACCCUGAUCCAGCGACGCCGCGUGAGUGAAGAAGUAUUUCGGUAUGUAAAGCUCUAUCAGCAGGGAAGAAAGAAAUGACGGUACCUGACUAAGAAGCCCCGGCUAACUACGUGCCAGCAGCCGCGGUAAUACGUAGGGGGCAAGCGUUAUCCGGAUUUACUGGGUGUAAAGGGAGCGUAGACGGCGAUGCAAGUCUGAAGUGAAAGGCGGGGGCCCAACCUCCGGACUGCUUUGGAAACUGUAUGGCUGGAGUGCAGGAGAGGUAAGUGGAAUUCCUAGUGUAGCGGUGAAAUGCGUAGAUAUUAGGAGGAACACCGGCGGCGAAGGCGGCCUGCUGGACCGUGACUGACGUUGAGGCUCGAGAGCGUGGGGAGCAAACAGGAUUAGAUACCCCGGUA